This is a non-coding RNA of Octopus bimaculoides (California two-spot octopus), 91 nucleotides long. Lineage: Eukaryota; Metazoa; Mollusca; Cephalopoda; Octopoda; Octopodidae. The record is from Rfam.
GGAUUGUUUAAGAGUUCGUAUACAACAUUCUUUAAAAACUGCUAAAUAGAUUGUGUGAAAAAUUGCUUCAUUCUCAAAAAAAGUAAGGUGC